This 739-nucleotide ribosomal RNA is filed under the name uncultured bacterium. Its description in RNAcentral is "bacterial SSU rRNA". It matches the Rfam family "Bacterial small subunit ribosomal RNA", at positions 114 to 865 of the family's 1533-position model. The record is from RNAcentral.
CGCGUGAGCAAUCUGUCCCAGAAUGGGGGAUAACAGAUGGAAACAUCUGCUAAUACCGCAUAAGACCACGAGGUCACAUGGCCUUGAGGUAAAAGGAGCAAUCCGAUCUGGGGUGAGCUCGCGUCCGAUUAGCCAGUUGGCGGGGUAACGGCCCACCAAAGCGACGAUCGGUAGCCGGCCUGAGAGGGCGAUCGGCCACACUGGAACUGAGAGACGGUCCAGACUCCUACGGGAGGCAGCAGUGGGGAAUAUUGGGCAAUGGGGGAAACCCUGACCCAGCAACGCCGCGUGAGGGAAGAAGGUUUUCGGAUUGUAAACCUCUGUCCUUGGUGACGAAGGAAGUGACGGUAACCAAGGAGGAAGCCCCGGCUAACUACGUGCCAGCAGCCGCGGUAAUACGUAGGGGGCAAGCGUUGUCCGGAAUGACUGGGCGUAAAGGGCGUGUAGGCGGCCGAUUAAGUCUGGAGUGAAAGUCCUGCUUUCAAGGUGGGAAUUGCUUUGGAGACUGGUUGGCUUGAGUGCGGAAGAGGUAAGUGGAAUUCCCAGUGUAGCGGUGAAAUGCGUAGAGAUUGGGAGGAACACCAGUGGCGAAGGCGACUUACUGGGCCGUAACUGACGCUGAGGCGCGAAAGCGUGGGGAGCGAACAGGAUUAGAUACCCUGGUAGUCCACGCGGUAAACGAUGAAUGCUAGGUGUAGCGGGUAUCGACCCCUGCUGUGCCGCAGUAAACACAAUAAGC